This 122-nucleotide ribosomal RNA is filed under the name Leadbetterella sp. Its description in RNAcentral is "partial 16S ribosomal RNA". It matches the Rfam family "Bacterial small subunit ribosomal RNA", at positions 1402 to 1533 of the family's 1533-position model. The record is from RNAcentral. Lineage: Bacteria; Pseudomonadati; Bacteroidota; Cytophagia; Cytophagales; Leadbetterellaceae.
CCAAGAGAGUCGGUAAUACCCAAAGACCCUGUUUCAAAGCAGGGGCCACGGUGGGAUCGAUAAUAAGGGUGAAGUCGUAACAAGGCAUCCGUAGCGGAAGCUGUGGAUGGAUCACCUCCUUU